RNAcentral lists this ribosomal RNA (494 nucleotides) under uncultured bacterium. Its description in RNAcentral is "partial 16S ribosomal RNA". It matches the Rfam family "Bacterial small subunit ribosomal RNA", at positions 28 to 507 of the family's 1533-position model. The record is from RNAcentral.
GACGAACGCUGGCGGCGUGCUUAACACAUGCAAGUCGAACGGUGAAGCGCCUUCCUUUUUGGUGGGUGUGGAUGAGUGGCGAACGGGUGAGUAACACGUGAGUAACCUGCCCCCUUCUUCUGGAUAACCGCAUGAAAGUGUGGCUAAUACGGGAUAUUCUGGGUCUGUCGCAUGAUGGGUCUGGGAAAGAUAUUGUUUCGGUUGGGGAUGGGCUCGCGGCCUAUCAGCUUGUUGGUGGGGUGAUGGCCUACCAAGGCGGUGACGGGUAGCCGGCCUGAGAGGGUGGGCGGCCACAGUGGGGCUGAGACACCGCGCAGCCUCCUGGGGGAGGCAGCAGGGGGGAAUAUGGCACGAUGGGAGCAAGGCUGAUGCAGCGACGCCGCGGGAGGGAUGGAGGCCGGCGGGUUGUGAACCUCUUUCGCCAGUGAAGCAGGCCUGCCUCGUUUGUGGGUGGGUUGACGGUAGCUGGAUAAGAAGCGCCGGCUAACUACGUG